CGAGUUUCUUUUUUUAGUUUCGUAAAUGUCGUCUGCAUCUUCACGCGUUCUUUGCAAGAGUGAAUCGCAAGCGAUACUUUCAAAAUAUUGCCAAUCACUGUGACCUGCUCCCUCGAACAAGACUUUGCCGACAUUGUCAAACACCAAGACAAAGCUUUAACGUCAUAUGACAUGGAAAUCAAUGAAGAAACGACUAAAUUCACGACCAAUAAAAGCAGCGCCGUCAGCAGAGAAAUCAAGGUGAGAAGCCAGGAAAACAGUUCUGCACAUCUAUACCUACUCAAGGAUCAAUUAUCUCAGACAAGGCUUUGAGCCGAAAGGCUAUAGCCAUCUAGUAUAGACAACAGGGCUCACGGAAACCUCUCUGGAGACAUCAUUAGUUCCGCUCCAAAAUCAGGCUGAUGCUUUCCCUGGUCAUCACUGAUCACAUAACGACAGUGACCGAUUUUCACAAAAGCGACUUAAUUUAUAAUACAUGAUUGAUAUAGAGACCGUACCUGAAUACUCGAAAACUCUAAUUUCUCUGUCGAUCGAAUUAAUAUUUUAUUUGGAGUGGAAGUUUCGGUAUUUGGACGUUUUCACUGCAUAUAAAGCUUCACUCACCCAUCCAUCUGACAUCGCAUGUAUAACCAUCUUUAGAAUAAGCCGACGAAUAUGUGACUGGAGUGAAAAUAUUAUUUUACCUUAAAAAUGAAUACGUAACAGAUUUUCUCGGUACCGUUUGAUACUUUAGUAUGACAAAUUUGCAAAAGUUACCGAGAAACAAAGAUGCUGGAAUUUCUAGGCAGGAGAACGGUAAACGCCAGACAAGUGGCAAAGGUCUGUGAAAGGCUGAAAACUCAGGCAUUGACGUAUACCCAGUCUGUGAGAAACGAUCUAUCUUGCAGACAAAGAAUGAUUUAUUCUUUUUGCUCACAAGAAUCCCUCGCCUGAUGAAUGAAUUAAAUAACUGCACUUACGGAUUCUGAAAUAUCACAUAUGCGCAUGAGAUAAACAAGCUAAUAAAGAUCUCUUAGGUGAUCGUAAA
Molecule: long non-coding RNA, 1027 nt
Organism: Pomacea canaliculata
Lineage: Eukaryota; Metazoa; Mollusca; Gastropoda; Architaenioglossa; Ampullariidae
Exons: 2
Source: RefSeq, a predicted model, not a curated record